Long non-coding RNA from Trifolium pratense (red clover), 830 nucleotides. RefSeq lists it as uncharacterized. The transcript is spliced from 5 exons. Lineage: Eukaryota; Viridiplantae; Streptophyta; Magnoliopsida; Fabales; Fabaceae. The record is from RefSeq and is a predicted model, not a curated record.
GAAAUAUUGCAGUCCUCAUGAACACAUUUGCUGAGCCUUUCUUUUGUCAUGUUUAAUCACUUUUCAUCCGCUCAGAUUCUGCGUUCUUCAUUCGAGCAUCCUGAUGAACUUCUGACAACAGAUAAUCUUUCCUUGGCUUUAAGCUCAGGUGUUUUGACAACAUUAUUGGUGUGCUGCUGCUGAUGCGGGUGCUGAGCAAUUGGCCAUUUGUUUUGGUGCAAUGAUGAUGUUUUAAAUUGAGGUCACUCACUUUCUGAAGCGAGAAAUGAAAGAAUUGUUUAUUGCACGAUUAUUUGGACCGGCUGGUUUUGUGAAACCCGUUCUGAUUCUGUGGUUAUGAAGAUUGAGUGAAUGGUGGUACUUUCAUUGUGCUAUCAACAGUUUUAACAAUAUUAUUAAUGGAAGAUAACUGGAAUGAGAAUACUAUUAGGAUGCCGCACAGAUUCAAGAGUGGAUUUAGAGAAGACUCUUCCAUGGCGUGGGUUUUGUCAAAGUUCAUUUCGAGAGCAAGUUAUCAUCUGAUGUUAGUGGAUGGGUUGAUUUUUGUAGAACACAUAGAUUGGUUGAAGGGAUACCAGUUAAAUUUAUAGCCACCGAGCCCCUUGACAACUAGGUUAUUUAUGUUAAGGUUGCUGCUGUGCAGCAAGUGAUAGACGAAAAGUUUGUUCCUUUUGUGGUCAUGGCACAAUUCUUUGCGGUCACACCAUAUUUGAAUUGUUCGGAAUUGUGUUGUCUUCUUUGAUUCACAUGUAUGAAUUCAUGGUUUAUCAUGUGAAUUUUGAUGGUAGUGUCAUAUUUUAUUUUGAUAGUAAUGUUGAAUGGUUAAGCUA